Molecule: ribosomal RNA, 2901 nt
Filed under: Escherichia coli DEC4C
Lineage: Bacteria; Pseudomonadati; Pseudomonadota; Gammaproteobacteria; Enterobacterales; Enterobacteriaceae
Description: bacterial LSU rRNA
Rfam family: Bacterial large subunit ribosomal RNA
Source: RNAcentral
UAAGCGACUAAGCGUACACGGUGGAUGCCCUGGCAGUCAGAGGCGAUGAAGGACGUGCUAAUCUGCGAUAAGCGUCGGUAAGGUGAUAUGAACCGUUAUAACCGGCGAUUUCCGAAUGGGGAAACCCAGUGUGAUUCGUCACACUAUCAUUAACUGAAUCCAUAGGUUAAUGAGGCGAACCGGGGGAACUGAAACAUCUAAGUACCCCGAGGAAAAGAAAUCAACCGAGAUUCCCCCAGUAGCGGCGAGCGAACGGGGAGGAGCCCAGAGCCUGAAUCAGUGUGUGUGUUAGUGGAAGCGUCUGGAAAGGCGCGCGAUACAGGGUGACAGCCCCGUACACAAAAAUGCACAUGCUGUGAGCUCGAUGAGUAGGGCGGGACACGUGGUAUCCUGUCUGAAUAUGGGGGGACCAUCCUCCAAGGCUAAAUACUCCUGACUGACCGAUAGUGAACCAGUACCGUGAGGGAAAGGCGAAAAGAACCCCGGCGAGGGGAGUGAAAAAGAACCUGAAACCGUGUACGUACAAGCAGUGGGAGCACAGAGCAAUCUGUGUGACUGCGUACCUUUUGUAUAAUGGGUCAGCGACUUAUAUUCUGUAGCAAGGUUAACCGAAUAGGGGAGCCGAAGGGAAACCGAGUCUUAACUGGGCGUUAAGUUGCAGGGUAUAGACCCGAAACCCGGUGAUCUAGCCAUGGGCAGGUUGAAGGUUGGGUAACACUAACUGGAGGACCGAACCGACUAAUGUUGAAAAAUUAGCGGAUGACUUGUGGCUGGGGGUGAAAGGCCAAUCAAACCGGGAGAUAGCUGGUUCUCCCCGAAAGCUAUUUAGGUAGCGCCUCGUGAAUUCAUCUCCGGGGGUAGAGCACUGUUUCGGCAAGGGGGUCAUCCCGACUUACCAACCCGAUGCAAACUGCGAAUACCGGAGAAUGUUAUCACGGGAGACACACGGCGGGUGCUAACGUCCGUCGUGAAGAGGGAAACAACCCAGACCGCCAGCUAAGGUCCCAAAGUCAUGGUUAAGUGGGAAACGAUGUGGGAAGGCCCAGACAGCCAGGAUGUUGGCUUAGAAGCAGCCAUCAUUUAAAGAAAGCGUAAUAGCUCACUGGUCGAGUCGGCCUGCGCGGAAGAUGUAACGGGGCUAAACCAUGCACCGAAGCUGCGGCAGCGACACUGUGUGUUGUUGGGUAGGGGAGCGUUCUGUAAGCCUGUGAAGGUGUGCUGUGAGGCAUGCUGGAGGUAUCAGAAGUGCGAAUGCUGACAUAAGUAACGAUAAAGCGGGUGAAAAGCCCGCUCGCCGGAAGACCAAGGGUUCCUGUCCAACGUUAAUCGGGGCAGGGUGAGUCGACCCCUAAGGCGAGGCCGAAAGGCGUAGUCGAUGGGAAACAGGUUAAUAUUCCUGUACUUGGUGUUACUGCGAAGGGGGGACGGAGAAGGCUAUGUUGGCCGGGCGACGGUUGUCCCGGUUUAAGCGUGUAGGCUGGUUUUCCAGGCAAAUCCGGAAAAUCAAGGCUGAGGCGUGAUGACGAGGCACUACGGUGCUGAAGCAACAAAUGCCCUGCUUCCAGGAAAAGCCUCUAAGCAUCAGGUAACAUCAAAUCGUACCCCAAACCGACACAGGUGGUCAGGUAGAGAAUACCAAGGCGCUUGAGAGAACUCGUGUGAAGGAACUAGGCAAAAUGGUGCCGUAACUUCGGGAGAAGGCACGCUGAUAUGUAGGUGAAGUCCCUCGCGGAUGGAGCUGAAAUCAGUCGAAGAUACCAGCUGGCUGCAACUGUUUAUUAAAAACACAGCACUGUGCAAACACGAAAGUGGACGUAUACGGUGUGACGCCUGCCCGGUGCCGGAAGGUUAAUUGAUGGGGUCAGCGCAAGCGAAGCUCUUGAUCGAAGCCCCGGUAAACGGCGGCCGUAACUAUAACGGUCCUAAGGUAGCGAAAUUCCUUGUCGGGUAAGUUCCGACCUGCACGAAUGGCGUAAUGAUGGCCAGGCUGUCUCCACCCGAGACUCAGUGAAAUUGAACUCGCUGUGAAGAUGCAGUGUACCCGCGGCAAGACGGAAAGACCCCGUGAACCUUUACUAUAGCUUGACACUGAACAUUGAGCCUUGAUGUGUAGGAUAGGUGGGAGGCUUUGAAGUGUGGACGCCAGUCUGCAUGGAGCCGACCUUGAAAUACCACCCUUUAAUGUUUGAUGUUCUAACGUGGACCCGUGAUCCGGGUUGCGGACAGUGUCUGGUGGGUAGUUUGACUGGGGCGGUCUCCUCCUAAAGAGUAACGGAGGAGCACGAAGGUUGGCUAAUCCUGGUCGGACAUCAGGAGGUUAGUGCAAUGGCAUAAGCCAGCUUGACUGCGAGCGUGACGGCGCGAGCAGGUGCGAAAGCAGGUCAUAGUGAUCCGGUGGUUCUGAAUGGAAGGGCCAUCGCUCAACGGAUAAAAGGUACUCCGGGGAUAACAGGCUGAUACCGCCCAAGAGUUCAUAUCGACGGCGGUGUUUGGCACCUCGAUGUCGGCUCAUCACAUCCUGGGGCUGAAGUAGGUCCCAAGGGUAUGGCUGUUCGCCAUUUAAAGUGGUACGCGAGCUGGGUUUAGAACGUCGUGAGACAGUUCGGUCCCUAUCUGCCGUGGGCGCUGGAGAACUGAGGGGGGCUGCUCCUAGUACGAGAGGACCGGAGUGGACGCAUCACUGGUGUUCGGGUUGUCAUGCCAAUGGCACUGCCCGGUAGCUAAAUGCGGAAGAGAUAAGUGCUGAAAGCAUCUAAGCACGAAACUUGCCCCGAGAUGAGUUCUCCCUGACCCUUUAAGGGUCCUGAAGGAACGUUGAAGACGACGACGUUGAUAGGCCGGGUGUGUAAGCGCAGCGAUGCGUUGAGCUAACCGGUACUAAUGAACCGUGAGGCUUAACCU